RNAcentral lists this ribosomal RNA (465 nucleotides) under Vreelandella stevensii. Its description in RNAcentral is "partial 16S ribosomal RNA". It matches the Rfam family "Bacterial small subunit ribosomal RNA", at positions 338 to 795 of the family's 1533-position model. The record is from RNAcentral. Lineage: Bacteria; Pseudomonadati; Pseudomonadota; Gammaproteobacteria; Oceanospirillales; Halomonadaceae.
CCUACGGGGGGCAGCAGUGGGGAAUAUUGGACAAUGGGCGAAAGCCUGAUCCAGCCAUGCCGCGUGUGUGAAGAAGGCCUUCGGGUUGUAAAGCACUUUCAGUGGGGAAGAAAGCCUUGGGGCUAAUACCCUCGAGGAAGGACAUCACCCACAGAAGAAGCACCGGCUAACUCCGUGCCAGCAGCCGCGGUAAUACGGAGGGUGCGAGCGUUAAUCGGAAUUACUGGGGGUAAAGCGCGCGUAGGCGGUCUGAUAAGCCGGUUGUGAAAGCCCCGGGCUCAACCUGGGAACGGCAUCCGGAACUGUCAGGCUAGAGUGCAGGAGAGGAAGGUAGAAUUCCCGGUGUAGCGGUGAAAUGCGUAGAGAUCGGGAGGAAUACCAGUGGCGAAGGCGGCCUUCUGGACUGACACUGACGCUGAGGUGCGAAAGCGUGGGUAGCAAACAGGAUUAGAUACCCGUGUAGUC